RNAcentral lists this long non-coding RNA (660 nucleotides) under Zea mays. Its description in RNAcentral is "long non-coding RNA (ZMAY_LNC002699)". The record is from RNAcentral. Lineage: Eukaryota; Viridiplantae; Streptophyta; Magnoliopsida; Poales; Poaceae.
CACAAUUGAAAGUGGGUAGUCGCUGCAGAAUCGAUGGAUUCAGUGUUCAGACUUCAGACACACAGAAGACCUCAGUAUGCAUGACCAAAACACUCGGUUCAUGGCAAGUCAAGAGCAGUCUUUAAUCACUGGAAUAUUUGGCAUCCAUUGCAUCUACGGUCUCCCUUUCCUGUGGGCUCAGAAGAGGAUGCCACUGCCUCUUUGGAGGCUGCGCGUGACCUGGAAAAUCCAAAAGAAAAACCGUAGUAGCCAGACAGUCAGAGGCCGGGUAGGCAGGUUAAGAACUGACUGUCGCCAAAUCCAACGCAUGGUAUGAGGUUGUCCUCGUUAAAUCGUGCGAGGGUUCUCCACGACCCCAUGACCACUCCUCCCUGAUCGACGAGGAGAGCGUCUCUCCUCCCAACUCCCUGAAGAUCGAAUCACAGCAGAUACAAAUAACCGGCGGGACCGGGAACAACAGGAAAGAAUCGAUCUUUGGAGAAGGCGAUGCUUGGAGGAUGGGAGCGAGACCGGGAACAACAGAAUUUCGUCGGUAGGUAAAGUACCUGGAAUUCUGGAAACCGACUCGCAAGAACAAGUGAGGUCGAACCGCCUAAACAAACCCGGAGACGGAGACGGAGGCCGAGCAGUCGAGCACCAAACAAACCCGGCGGCGGCGGG